GAUGAACGCUGGCGGCGUGCCUAAUACAUGCAAGUCGAGCGAACGGACGAGAAGCUUGCUUCUCUGAUGUUAGCGGCGGACGGGUGAGUAACACGUGGAUAACCUACCUAUAAGACUGGGAUAACUUCGGGAAACCGGAGCUAAUACCGGAUAAUAUUUUGAACCGCAUGGUUCAAAAGUGAAAGACGGUCUUGCUGUCACUUAUAGAUGGAUCCGCGCUGCAUUAGCUAGUUGGUAAGGUAACGGCUUACCAAGGCAACGAUGCAUAGCCGACCUGAGAGGGUGAUCGGCCACACUGGAACUGAGACACGGUCCAGACUCCUACGGGAGGCAGCAGUAGGGAAUCUUCCGCAAUGGGCGAAAGCCUGACGGAGCAACGCCGCGUGAGUGGUGAAGGUCUUCGGAUCGUAAAACUCUGUUAUUAGGGAAGAACAUAUGUGUAAGAAACUGUGCACAUCUUGACGGUACCUAAUCAGAAAGCCACGGCUAACUACGUG
This 497-nucleotide ribosomal RNA is filed under the name uncultured bacterium. RNAcentral's name for it is "partial 16S ribosomal RNA". It matches the Rfam family "Bacterial small subunit ribosomal RNA", at positions 28 to 507 of the family's 1533-position model. The record is from RNAcentral.